This 253-nucleotide unclassified non-coding RNA is filed under the name uncultured Cyclobacteriaceae bacterium. RNAcentral describes it as "contains 16S-23S intergenic spacer region". It matches the Rfam family "Bacterial small subunit ribosomal RNA", at positions 524 to 776 of the family's 1533-position model. The record is from RNAcentral. Lineage: Bacteria; Pseudomonadati; Bacteroidota; Cytophagia; Cytophagales; Cyclobacteriaceae.
UACGGAGGGUGCAAGCGUUGUCCGGAUUUAUUGGGUUUAAAGGGUGCGUAGGCGGCUAAUUAAGUCAGUGGUGAAAGCCCGCAGCUCAACUGUGGAAUUGCCAUUGAUACUGACUAGCUUGAGUUUGGUUGAGGUAGGCGGAAUGGAUGGUGGAGCGGUGAAAUGCAUAGAUAUCAUCCAGAACACCGAUAGCGAAGGCAGCUUACUGAGCCGAAACUGACGCCGAGGCACGAAAGCAUGGGGAUCGCAACGG